This 254-nucleotide ribosomal RNA is filed under the name uncultured bacterium. RNAcentral's name for it is "partial 16S ribosomal RNA". It matches the Rfam family "Bacterial small subunit ribosomal RNA", at positions 524 to 776 of the family's 1533-position model. The record is from RNAcentral.
CACGUAGGGGGCGAGCGUUGUCCGGAUUUAUUGGGCGUAAAGAGCUCGUAGGCGGUUUCGUUAGUCGGGUGUGAAAACCCCAGGCUCAACCUGGGGACGCCACCCGAUACUGCGAUGACUAGAGUCCGGUAGGGGAGUGUGGAAUUCCUGGUGUAGCGGUGAAAUGCGCAGAUAUCAGGAGGAACACCAACGGCGAAGGCAGCACUCUGGGCCGGAACUGACGCUGAGGAGCGAAAGCGUGGGUAGCGAACAGG